GAAAUGCAAUAGUACAGCGAGAACAACCACUAUGAAGUAAUAUGUGACCUGAAAGGGUGACUAGUAUUUCUUCUCAGUUGGAUUUGAACACGUUGUUGUUGUUUGAAAGCCUGGUGGUUCUGCUUCAAAAGUUCGAGUAACGCCGAACAAAAAUCUCAAUCUCAAAUCAGGUAGGAUUACCCGCUGAACUUAA
This 193-nucleotide unclassified non-coding RNA is filed under the name uncultured fungus. Its description in RNAcentral is "sequence contains ITS1". The record is from RNAcentral. Lineage: Eukaryota; Fungi.